AUGGUUCAGUCUGCCCGACAGCAACAAGGAAGUGUGUGACCCAGACACAGCUGAAGGAGCUGCAGGGAGACCCGGACAGACAAAAGUAGGAGGUUUCCCAUGGUCUGCCUGCUGACUGGCUGGCCUGCAUAGCUGGUUAAAAGUUUCGGUUAUACCCCCCCCCACACACACACACACCAAGACGCGCAGACAAUGCAGACACACAACGUGGUGAUGAAUUCUCAGUGCUCCUGGAGCUGCAGCAGAUAAUGAUGACUUGCAGAACACAGGAAGGAGAAAUGGUCACUCGGGACUUUCUGAUGCACGCCUGUGGCUCCUGAAGAUGCACAAGAUGGACGUUGGGAAGCAGAAGUGAAAAAGACCAACUAAGCAGUGUUCAACAAUUGUGCUUAYGAUUAAUGUCUGACAUGAGACUUGCACUUCCCCCCCCCCUUCCCUUAGGCAGUCUCAUGUCCAGGUAACUAGGRGCGUGAAAACUAAAUAAAAGAGGGUGAACUGCAGGAAGUCCUCAAAACGUUGGGUUGGAGGUACUGAGCUGACUUCCUGUCCUGCGUUCYCCUCACUCUUGUCAAAGCUGAA
Austrofundulus limnaeus is the source of this 579-nucleotide long non-coding RNA. RefSeq lists it as uncharacterized. NCBI's taxonomy places the organism in Eukaryota, Metazoa, Chordata, Actinopteri, Cyprinodontiformes, Rivulidae. The transcript is spliced from 2 exons. The record is from RefSeq and is a predicted model, not a curated record.